GAUGAACGCUGGCGGCGUGCCUAAUACAUGCAAGUCGAGCGAACGGACGAGAAGCUUGCUUCUCUGAUGUUAGCGGCGGACGGGUGAGUAACACGUGGAUAACCUACCUAUAAGACUGGGAUAACUUCGGGAAACCGGAGCUAAUACCGGAUGAUAUUUUGAACCGCAUGGUUCAAAAGUGAAAGACGGUCUUGCUGUCACUUAUAGAUGGAUCCGCGCUGCAUUAGCUAGUUGGUAAGGUAAUGGCUUACCAAGGCAGCGAUGCAUAGCCGACCUGAGAGGGUGAUCGGCCACACUGGAACUGAGACACGGUCCAGACUCCUACGGGAGGCAGCAGUAGGGAAUCUUCCGCAAUGGGCGAAAGCCUGACGGAGCAACGCCGCGUGAGUGAUGAAGGUCUUCGGAUCGUAAAACUCUGUUAUUAGGGAAGAACAUAUGUGUAAGUAACUGUGCACAUCUUGACGGUACCUAAUCAGAAAGCCACGGCUAACUACGUG
Molecule: ribosomal RNA, 497 nt
Filed under: uncultured bacterium
Lineage: Bacteria
Description: partial 16S ribosomal RNA
Rfam family: Bacterial small subunit ribosomal RNA
Source: RNAcentral